AACCCAGGUCUUCAUGCUUGUGCGCCAAAUGCUUUACUCACUAAGCUGUCUCUCCAGCUUCCCUCCACCUCAGAAUUCUUUUAUGUUCAUACUUUCCUUUCAGUUCUUGACAGUGUUACUAAUACAGUGAUGAGACUGAUAAUAGUAGCAGCAAGUGUUCUUAUCUGCGUGUUUCUGUAAUUAGACGAAUUUCUUGAGCAGUAUUUUAUCCAUUGGUGUUUCUUCCUGGCUAUAGGUUACAUUUUAUGACAUAGUUAGGUAAGGUGAAUUAUAUGUUGCUGUCAUUUUUUUGUUAAGAUUAUUAGGCUGUUUGUAGAGCCAUGUAUGAAUUUCUUCAGGAUAACCUUUGUUUUUUAAGACUAGUUUUAAAUGUUCCCAUUUCGAUUUAGAAUGGCUUAUCACACUAGGGCUGGUUCUCCUUAUUAGCGAAGCCUGGCUCCUUCAAGGUCCCUGCCUGAUCCGUGGAGCACGGGUGAUUUCUAUCUUUGUAGGUCAGUGUCUUGGCCCCACCUUGUUAGCUGUGAUGCUGUUACUGAGCCAAGCCUCUGGAGCUUUCCCUCUGCAGCGCCUUCAUCUGAAAGCACUGUCCUUUAGCCCUUGAGACCACCCACUUGAGUUUCAUUCUUUGCGUCUCCAUGAUUCCUUCAUAUGCUGUUUGGCUGCCACUCUGUGCAGUGAUAAGUUGACUUUAGAAAGGUGUUUUAGUGUGUUUUCAUUUCUGAAUGGGCAGAGUCUUAAUGUGCCUAUUUUUCCAAGUCAGAAAAUUAUUUUUGUAGCAUACAUUUGUACAGUUUUAUUCUUCUUUAUGGUGUUGUUUGUAAGUCUAGGUUUUUAUUUAGGUUAUAUCAGGAAGAGGUAGUGUACUGUUUGAUUUUGUUCUAUGUUUAAAUAACUUAUCCAGAAUAUAUAAUCAAUACUUUAUAUAAUAAAGUAUUGUUAUAAAAAGUAAAAACAAGGAAAUUGUGAAGGUUGUGGGCAGAUAUAUUUUUAUAGACAGAAGUUCUAUGUAUACAGAACAAUUAAUGGUGAUAUUUAUGUAAAAAUACUGACAUGUUAUCUUUUGUGUAUAAUAUUAUGGAUUUAAAUACAAUGAUGGUGAGCCAGAGUUGGAUCACUCUGGU
This 1121-nucleotide long non-coding RNA is filed under the name Mus musculus (house mouse). RNAcentral's name for it is "long non-coding RNA chr3:86287403-86288524". The record is from RNAcentral. Lineage: Eukaryota; Metazoa; Chordata; Mammalia; Rodentia; Muridae.